AACGAACGCUGGCGGCGUGCCUAACACAUGCAAGUCGUGCGAGAAAGUUCCUUCGGGAGCGAGUAAAGCGGCGCACGGGUGAGUAACACGUAGGUAACCUGCCCCCCAGUCUGGAACAACUAGAGGAAACUCUAGCUAAUGCCGGAUGAGACCACGAUCCCUUCGGGGGUUGCGGCCAAAGAUGGCCUCUACUUGUAAGCUAUCGCUGAGGGAUGGGCCUGCGGGCCAUUAGCUUGUUGGUGAGGUAACGGCUCACCAAGGCUGUGAUGGCUAGCUGGUCUGAGAGGAUGACCAGCCACACUGGGACUGAGACACGGCCCAGACUCCUACGGGAGGCAGCAGUGGGGAAUUUUGGACAAUGGGGGCAACCCUGAUCCAGCAAUGCCGCGUGAGUGAAGAAGGCC
This 404-nucleotide ribosomal RNA is filed under the name uncultured bacterium. RNAcentral describes it as "bacterial SSU rRNA". It matches the Rfam family "Bacterial small subunit ribosomal RNA", at positions 29 to 416 of the family's 1533-position model. The record is from RNAcentral.